This is a long non-coding RNA of Patella vulgata (common limpet), 1498 nucleotides long. RefSeq lists it as uncharacterized. NCBI's taxonomy places the organism in Eukaryota, Metazoa, Mollusca, Gastropoda, Patellidae. The record is from RefSeq and is a predicted model, not a curated record. The transcript has 5 exons.
UGUCUCAUCAACACUGUCUACUUUGUGAAAUCUGGGUGGCGUUGUUUUGUUCAGAUGUGAAGUAUAAGAAUAUCAUUGAAGACCUAAAGGCUUUGUUUAUCACUUAUGCUGUCUGUUUUGUUGAGUGGGUUUUAUUUUGUUGAGGAGUAAAGUAUCAGAAUCUUAAUGAAGAGCCACUUACCACAAAAAGUUUUCUGAACAUUGAUUUGAUGUUUUAUAAACGAUUAUCCUACGUUAUUUUCCUGUGUGCUUUUAAAACUCUCUGAAGCCACACCAUAGUAAGCUGUAACGGAUCUAUCAAAUUGAAAUAAACGGUUUAAGCGGUUGCCCACAUUUGAACAACUGAUACCAAAAUAUCUUAAUAACAAAAUGGUGUAUUUAUAUCAUUAAAAUAAGGAAAUGGCUGCGUUUUCUACACUUACCAUUGUGGUGAUUCUUUUGAAUACAGUUCAUCGAUGUUUUACAAUAACGUGUAUGGAUGAUCUACCGGACCCAGAAUGUCCUAAUCUAGCCGCUGCCGGCGAUUGUUUAUUUAAUUCAUCUCUAACAGGAACAUCUUGUUUGUGCAAAAAAUCAUGUGGAACGUCCGAGUAUUGCAAAAAUCCCAGGCUCAUCGCCUAUCAUGAUAAAAGAUGUGAUUGUGUUAGCUAUCUUCCUGAAUGUUAUGGUGGUGAUACAUUUACACCUCUCCCGGGCUGUCCUUUUGACUGGCCAAAUGAAUGUUACAUAACCAGCACGAUAAGGGAUAUUUGGACGUGUUUGAUUUUCCCUAGCAAAGAUCGCACGGUUCUUAUUAACUCCACCGCCAAAUACCAUACCGCACAGAUAGAAUUCCAAUGUGUUGAUGGUUAUAGUAAAGUUGGGGGUUCUAGGGGUCUCCAUGUGUGUGACGGUGGAGAUUGGAAAAAACAUUCAGUUUACGGCGAUUUUCCAGUUUGCAUUCCAUAUAUUGGUCAUUUCAAGAUAUUACCUGGAAAUGAAGCAGUAGCCAAUAAAACGUUAAGUAUAAAACCAGGUAGAAGUGAUAUUUACUGCGGUGCUCUCUGUCUACAGUCAUAUUUUUGUGUUGGCUAUACUUAUGAUGACGUCAAUCACGUGUGUCGUUUGAAUGAAAGUGGUGAAAGGGCUCAAAAUACAGAGUACACAUUAAUAUAUCCGUAUUAACAGACUGAUUGCGAGAGAAGACAUAUAGAACACACCUUACUAUAUCAAAUAAAAGGUCCUAAUUACUAAAUGUGAUUCAAAGAAUGCAUCCGUAUUAACACUAACACUAACAAACCGGGUUCAUGAUGAGGGACAUUGGGGUGUUUUACGAUCCGAAGGUCUGGGCGCUGUUCUUUGCCAGAACCACGACGAAAUAUCCCGAGGAACUCUUAUCAGCCAAAACCGGGGAUUGAACCCUAUAGGUCCUGGGUAAUGAUCAAUCGUCUUGGUCACCGUGGCUCCUAAAACUCUCUUUACAUGCCCUACAAGACAGAAAUAAAUGCGUUAUUUUCAA